AAGGGUGUGGUGCAACGGCAGCACGGCGGCUUCCAACUCCGCAGAUCUGGGUUCGAAUCCCGGCACCUUUGCCA
RNAcentral lists this transfer RNA (74 nucleotides) under uncultured bacterium. RNAcentral describes it as "tRNA-Trp". It matches the Rfam family "tRNA". From Rfam's summary of the family: Transfer RNA (tRNA) molecules are approximately 80 nucleotides in length. Their secondary structure includes four short double-helical elements and three loops (D, anti-codon, and T loops). Further hydrogen bonds mediate the characteristic L-shaped molecular structure. tRNAs have two regions of fundamental functional importance: the anti-codon, which is responsible for specific mRNA codon recognition, and the 3' end, to which the tRNAs corresponding amino acid is attached (by aminoacyl-tRNA synthetases). tRNAs cope with the degeneracy of the genetic code in two manners: having more than one tRNA (with a specific anti-codon) for a particular amino acid; and 'wobble' base-pairing, i.e. permitting non-standard base-pairing at the 3rd anti-codon position. The record is from RNAcentral.